Molecule: ribosomal RNA, 484 nt
Filed under: uncultured bacterium
Lineage: Bacteria
Description: partial 16S ribosomal RNA
Rfam family: Bacterial small subunit ribosomal RNA
Source: RNAcentral
AUUGAACGCUGGCGGCAUGCUUUACACAUGCAAGUCGAAUGGCAGCGCGGGCUUCGGCCUGGCGGCGAGUGGCGAACGGGUGAGUAAUGCAUCGGAACGUGCCCAGUAGUGGGGGAUAGCCCGGCGAAAGCCGGAUUAAUACCGCAUACGACCUGAGGGUGAAAGCGGGGGACCGAAAGGCCUCGCGCUAUUGGAGCGGCCGAUGUCGGAUUAGCUAGUUGGUGGGGUAAAGGCUUACCAAGGCGACGAUCCGUAGCUGGUCUGAGAGGACGACCAGCCACACUGGGACUGAGACACGGCCCAGACUCCUACGGGAGGCAGCAGUGGGGAAUUUUGGACAAUGGGGGCAACCCUGAUCCAGCCAUGCCGCGUGCGGGAAGAAGGCCUUCGGGUUGUAAACCGCUUUUGUUCGGGAAGAAAUCCUCUGGGCUAAUACCCCGGGGGGAUGACGGUACCGGAAGAAUAAGCACCGGCUAACUACGUG